Molecule: ribosomal RNA, 253 nt
Filed under: uncultured bacterium
Lineage: Bacteria
Description: partial 16S ribosomal RNA
Rfam family: Bacterial small subunit ribosomal RNA
Source: RNAcentral
GACGUAGGUGGCGAACGUUAUCCGGAAUUAUUGGGCGUAAAGGGUGCGUAGAUGGCUUAGUAAGUUGGCGGUGGGAAAUCGAGGCUCAACCUCGUGGAAGCCGACAAUACUAUUAAGCUUGAGUACAGGAGAGGUUAAUGGAACUCCAUGUGGAGCGGUAAAAUGCGUAGAGAUCGGAAAGAACACCAACGGCGAAAGCACUCUGCUGGGCCGACACUGACACUGAGAGACGAAAGCUAGGGGAGCGAAUGGG